UUCACGGGGUCGACCUGUCGCUCAGACCCCCGAACCUACUUUCCCCUAGGCCGGCAGCAGGAUGGCUGAGGAGGAGGUCCAGGGCCGCCUGUGGCUGGAGAGCCCCGCUGGGGGAGCUCCUCCCAUCUUCCUGCCUUCGAACCGGCAGGCUCUGGUCCUGGGCCGGGGUCCCCUCACCCGUGUUACGGACCGGAAGUGCUCCAGAAACCAAGGUGGGGACGGGCUUGAGCGGGAAGGGGUGUGGCCUGCUCUAGAGGCGGGAAUGAGAUCCUAAAGAAUGAUGCACCGAGGGACGCUCGGCUACUAGGCACAAUUGCGUGGUGCGUCCAGCCCAGGGGUCGAUUGGUGCCUUCUGGGGAGCGCAGAAGGAGAGGUUGUACCUGACCUUGGGGAAGAGGGUGUGGUGCCAACCCCGGGAGAAUUGUCAGUGGGCACAGGAGGCUGCUCUCGGGCCAUUUGAAGGUUUAAAACUGGCCACCACCUUUGUGAAGAGAGGUGAUCCUACAGAGAAAAGUAAAAGCCGGGUGGACGUGGACGGUAACAGGGCAAGCCCAGGGCCUGCGUCAAGCCUCACUUAUUAUUAUUUAUAUGAAAGUGUCUGCCCUGUUCAUAGGCAAGGACCAUGCCACGCGCAGUCCUAGGGACUCUCGCAGUGGGAUCCAAUCCCAUUGAGAAAUAAACUGUCUCUUACUCUCUCCGGAAUGGAUGCUGUAGCUCCAUUCUGUGGCCUGAAACUGGCCACCGCUCCCCAGUAUGAGGGGGCCCUUCACACAAGGAUGUGAUCCUGACCCCACCCCCUCAUCCCCUAGUGGAGCUGGUUGCAGACCCUGAGACCCGGACAGUGGCUGUGAAACAGGUACCAGUGCUUCAGCAAGGGGCAGCAGUGUCUGGGGGUAGGGUCUGGAGGGGAAUUGCAAACUGGCAGGGGGUAGACCCAUUAGAAAACUGGCCAGAAGAAGGGGGUGUGCUGGUGAAAAAGAGUUGUCGGCUUUAUUUGGGUAUCCAUCUGUCCCCUUUCAACUGGGCAAGACUGGAAGCCUAUAAGGGUCUGAUUGGUAGGUGGACUAAAUCACCCUGUGGUAUUGGGGGGGGGGAGGUUCUCACAGUGGGUGGAGCUGGUCCCAGCCCCUCCCUCUUUCUCUGCAGCUGGGCGUUAACCCUUCAACUGCUGGAACCCAGCAGUUGAAACCAGGGUUGGAGGGCUCUCUGGGGGUGGGGGACACACUAUAUUUGGUCAAUGGCCUCCACCCACUGACCCUGCGCUGGAAAGAGACCCAUACAUCAGGAUCCCAGCCAGAUACUCCGCCUGGCACCUCUCCAGUAGCUUCAGAUGAAGAGCAGGAGAAGGAUGCUAAGCAGCAGAAAAAGCGCUUAAGGAAGUCAUCCCCUGGCUGGGAGAGCUUGGAGAAGCUGCUAGUGUUCACAGCACCUGGGGUGAAGCCUCGGGGCAAGGUGAGGCUGCUGGAGGUUCUGCCCUAGGCCGGGCAUUCAGUCUGAACUUCAAAUGUGAUCCUAGGCAAGGCUGUCAGCCUCUUAGCCUUGGGGGAAGUGUGGGUUGGUCCCUGCUGCCCCUUGGUAGACACCCAGGAAUCAGCAGGAUGACCAGGAACAGGUCAGCAGGGGCUCUUCAGACUGCACUUAGAUGUGGUCAAGGCCAUGCUGAGUCUACAUCUCACCUCUGAAAUGAUGACUUCCCAAAAAGUAUGUGGCCUUGGUCCCUGACAGGCAGUGGGCACCCCAAAAAAGCUUUGCUCUGGUUUUAUUUCCCCUGUAGUUAUUAAUCUCCAAGGUGUAAAAGCCCAGGGGAGGAGAUCGGGUAAGAAACUAAUUCUCAUUUUGAUACUAGAAAUGCAGAGGUGGGGUGGACACAGGAGUGACAGGACAGUAGGAUUUCAGGUGAUGUGUCUGUGCCUCAUCCCUGUUGGGUCAUAUCUACAGAAAACCAUCUCCCUGCAUCAAAGUGUUAUUGUGACUCAUCCUGUGAGUGAAGAGACAGGUGUCUCAAUGCUGCCCCUCCUCUGUUCUUGGUGACACCAGGUAGCUGCCUUUGAUUUGGAUGGGACCCUCAUCACCACCCGCUCUGGGAAGGUGUUUCCCACUGGCCCCAGUGACUGGAGGUGAGGAGGGGCAAGGGAAGGGAGUGAGUGGAGCUGGUUGACCCCUCCAGGCCCCAGGUCACUUGUCCACUUCCGACCCAUUCUAGGGUCUUGUACCUAGAGAUUCCACGCAAGCUGAAGGAGUUGGAAGCAGAAGGCUACAAGGUCUGUGCCUAUGUGAGCAAGCGCGACAGGGUCUCUGAUGAGGAGGCCCUGGUGACAUUGUCUGCUCCCUAGCUGGUGAUCUUCACCAACCAGAUGGGCAUUGGACGAGGGAAACUGCCAGCAGAGGAGUUCAAGGCCAAGGUGGAGGCUGUGGUAGAGAAGCUGGGGGUUCCCUUUCAGGUAUGACUAGAAUGGAGGCUAGGGCCAGGGUAGGGUAACAAAGACCCUUGGGUGGGAGACAAACCCAGAGAGAGUCCCUGGGAUGUAUGGGACAGAGGCCUCUGCUGGGGUCAAGCCAUGAGCAGUUGUCAUGAGCUGUAUAUCCCAGAGCAUGGGCAGCUCUCUGGGGCUUGGUACCCAGCUCUUUGGGGCUUGGAAGAGCUGAGGAUGGUGUGUGACCCCUGCCCCACUUCAGGUGCUGGUGGCUACACAUGCAGGCCUGUAUCGGAAGCCGGUGACUGGCAUGUGGGACCAUCUGCAGGAGCAGGUGAGCUGUACCUCCUCUUCCCCUUGCUCUAGCCCCUGUUUCUUAGGGCUUGUUCUUUCUCUCCUCCCUUAGUCCUUGUCAUGUGGUUUAGCUGUCAGGUCCUAGGUGCUGGUAUAUGAGGUCAGUACCAUUAAGCUGAAGUCAGAGGUUGCAUCAGGAGCAGAGACAGGAGGGUAAGUUUGAGUCAGCCUGGGCAACUUAGGGAGACCCUGUCUCAAACUAUAAAAUAAGCCGGGCACAGUGUCGCAUGAAUGAAAUCCCAGCGGCUCAGGAGGCUGAGGCUGAGUUCAAAGGCAGCUGAUCAAACUCACUGAUCAGGAGUUCAAAGCUGGCCUCAGCAAAGGUGAAGCACUAAGCAACUCAGUGAGACCCUGUCUCUAAAUAAAAUACAAAAUAGGGCUGGGGAUGUGGCUCAGCUGUAGAGCACCUGCCUAGCAUGUCUGAGUCACUGGGUUCCAUCCCUAGUACCACCAAAAAAAAAAAAAAAUCAGUGGUUGAGAUUGUUAAUUCAUUCAACCAAUGGUUUGUUCUGAGCUGAAAAUCCUGGUAAAUAAUAGUGGCAUGCCUGCUGUAGCAGUACUCGUAGACCGCUGAUGGCAGCCAGCUAUAAAUGCACACAUGAGUAUAAAAUAGGAAGUAGGGUGUGAUUUUCCUACGGUAGACAGGGGGACGUCUCUAAGAAGGUGACAAAUUGAGUAAAAGUCUAAGGGAGGUGAGGGAAGAAGCCACAUGGAUAUCUGCAGAAGUGGUCCUGGCCAGAGUGACAGCUGGUGUGAAGGCCCCGAGCCUUGCGUGUUCACCAGUGCGGAUGCCCACCUGGUGGACCCAGGUGAGUGAGAGGGUGGGGCCUCGCCUUGGGGCCACGGGAGCAGAGUAGGAACGCGUGUGGGGUCUAAGUGGGGAUGGGAGCCUGGAAGCCUAUCCGCUCUGGCCUGAGUCUAGGCAGUGAAGCGUGAGAAGCGCUGCAAUGGUGAGGACUUGAGAGGUUUGAGAUCUGGCCUGAUGCAGGGAACAGACCAAGAGGAGCUGCCCCAGGGAGCCCUUUACUGCAGAGGGACAGUUGUUAGGAGUAGGUUCUAUUUGUCUCUCCAGGCCAACGAGGGCGUGCCCAUCUCUAUGGGGGACAGCAUCUUCGUGGGAGGUAAGGGCUUGGGGCUGCUGCGGGUGGGCCAAGACCCUUCUCUCCAAACCUGCUGGCAGUGAAGGGUAUCCUCGUGCGUUCCAGAUGCAGCAGGCCGCCCAGCCAACUGGGCCCCUGGCCGUAAGAAGAAAGACUUUUCCUGCGCUGACCGAUUGGUGAGCAGGUGACCGAUUGGGGAUCGGUCACCAAUGGUGAGCCCCGCACCCCGCCCUCGAUCUCUGCCUCACCUCUGCCUUUGCCCCAGUUUGCGCUCAACCUUGGCCUGCCCUUCGCCACCCCGGAGGAGUUCUUCCUUAAGCAGCCCACAGCAGCCUUUGUCCUCCCAGCAUUUGACCCGGUGAGGCCCGAGGGGUGGAAGGCAGGGAACAAGCAGGGGAAUGAGGGUCUCAACUUCUUGUUCCACCCCUCCUAGAGGACUGUCUCCUGCUCAGGGCCUCUCUGCCUCCCAGAGUCCAGCUCCCUCCUGAGCUCUGACCCAGAGGUGGUUGUCGCCGUGGGAUUCCCUGGGGGUGAGAUAUCCUGAUCCCCAUCUCUGGGUGCUGUAAGUGUCCUUCUGGGUCCUGGGUAUCCACUGAUAGUGAUUUUGUGCCUCUCAGCUGGGAAGUCCACCUUCCUCAAGAAACAUCUCGUGUCAGCUGGGUACGUCCACGUGAACAGGGUAAGAGGCUGCCGCGCCCCAUCCCACUGGUUCAUUCCCUGGCUGCCCCAACCGGGCCUUCAGGGCUGCCGCCCAGCACCCCUGCCUCCCCCUGCAGUUCUGAUUUGUUGCCCUGCCCCCACCAGGACACCCCUUCAUCUUCUAUUCCCUAUUGGGCAAUUCCUGCUUGUGACCUGCUCUCCUCUGUCCCCAGGAUACAAUAGGCUCCUGGCAGCGCUGUGUGAGCACCUGUGAGGCAGCUCUGAAGCAGAGGAAACGCGUGGUGAUCGACAACACAAAUCCAGACAUCCCAACCAGGGCCAGGUACUUGGCCCCAUGGGAGGUCUCUAGUAGGGCUGGCAAGGGCCUGGUGACAGCGCUUUCCUGGCCUCAACAGGUAUGUCCAGUGUGCCAGGGAUGCAGGUGUUCCCUGCCGUUGUUUCCUCUUCACUGCCACAUUGGAGCAGGCUCGCCACAACAACCGGGUGAGCCCCUGCCCUCCCCCUCCCUCCUGCCCUGCCCUGCCCCUCCCUCCCCGAUGGCCUCACUCUGAACCAUCCCCUAACAGUUCCGGGAGAUGACUGGCUCCUCUCACACACCAGUGUCAGAUGUCGUCAUAUUCGGCUACAGGUACCUCUAGUUAGUAGGCUGUGGGCUGGUAGGGCCUGGCCUCUCCUUACCACCUUCUCUGCCACCAGGAAACAGUUCGAAGCUCCUACGGUGGCGGAAGGCUUCUCUGCAAUCCUGGAGAUCCCAUUCCAGCUGCAGCUAGAGCCGCAACUAGAGCGACUCUACCGGCAGUUCUCUGAGGGCUGAGUUGCCCAGCCCCAUGCUCCCCUCCCUGACCUGGCAAUAAAUGCUAUUUUUCUCCAAGCUUGGCCAGCAUUUUGCUGGGAGGAAGGGUGGUCGUCUUGGAGGUGCGUCACCAGGCCUAGGCCAACCCCACGCCCCCACACACACACGCGCGCGCGCGCACACUUUUCUACAUUUUCAGGUUAACAGAAAAGGAGGGACCUGGACUGGCUCAGGCUGCUCCUCUGCACAUCUCAUGUUCUACACCAAACCACUCCACCCACCUUGGGCUGUGGAAAGGUGUCACUAGGAGGUUGUCAUGAGCAGGUCAAACAAGAGACUGAGAUGAGACAUGGGAAUGUAGGACAUUGAAUGGGCCCCUAUAAGCUAGCCAGAGCUUGGCUCAAGAUGGCCCAUGAGGGCACAGUGAUUGCAAGCUUGCCUAAUCAUGUGUGAGGCCCUGCAUUCAACUCCCAGUACUGCAUGAGGACAAAAUAUCCAGGGCUCAGGUUCUAUUGCAUUGGACUUGAACGCAGGGGAUGUGGGUCUUGGACCUGCCUAUGGAUCCCCCCUCCAGCUACAGGAGGCAAAAACGCCCCUGACCUAUGCUUUCUUACAGGUAAGUCCAGGGGAAAGAAACCAUGAGCACUACCUGCAAGGUCCUGGCACCAGGUACUGGAAACAGAGAACCAACACACGGCUUCAUGCUUCUGACACAAAGGCCCCAGGAGGUGAGGCCACC
Molecule: long non-coding RNA, 6060 nt
Filed under: Marmota monax (woodchuck)
Lineage: Eukaryota; Metazoa; Chordata; Mammalia; Rodentia; Sciuridae
Source: RNAcentral